GGAAGGGCAAUCUAGCUGCGACCUGUCAGCCCAUUGAUUACCAAGUGUUGAUUCAUCUGAUCUGCCUAGCUAGGCCGGUGCCCUCUUCCUUCCUCACCAUUCAAUGUGUAUCCCUCUGAAAUAUUCAUGCUUUGUGGCAGAGGAAGAAUUUCCCUGAACUGGGAAGGAGCUCUCUUCUGUCAGAUGUCUAUGAAUAGCUGUAUUUCCCUACUAGACCUCCAAAUAAGCUCUUAAAAGAUUUAUAUGAGAAUAAUCAUUAUCCAGAAUUAUAGUUUUCUAUUAAAUGCCUGUUUUUCAAU
This 299-nucleotide small nuclear RNA is filed under the name Mus musculus (house mouse). RNAcentral describes it as "7SK RNA". It matches the Rfam family "7SK RNA". Rfam says of the family: 7SK was discovered as an abundant small nuclear RNA in the mid-70s but a possible function has only recently been suggested. Two independent studies have found that 7SK RNA binds the CDK9/cyclin T complex (known as elongation factor P-TEFb). P-TEFb activates transcription by phosphorylating the C-terminal domain of RNA polymerase II. The record is from Rfam by way of RNAcentral. Lineage: Eukaryota; Metazoa; Chordata; Mammalia; Rodentia; Muridae.